RNAcentral lists this ribosomal RNA (253 nucleotides) under uncultured bacterium. RNAcentral's name for it is "partial 16S ribosomal RNA". It matches the Rfam family "Bacterial small subunit ribosomal RNA", at positions 524 to 776 of the family's 1533-position model. The record is from RNAcentral.
UACGUACUGGGCGAACGUUAUUCGGAAUCACUGGGCUUAAAGGGUGCGUAGGCGGCUUGCCAAGUAGGGUGUGAAAGCCCCCGGCUUAACCGGGGAAUUGCGCCCUAAACUGGCGAGCUGGAGUGAGAUAGGGGUGUGUGGAACUUCCGGUGGAGCGGUGAAAUGUGUUGAUAUCGGAAGGAACGCCGGUGGCGAAAGCGACACACUGGGUCUCAACUGACGCUGAGGCACGAAAGCCAGGGGAGCGAACGGG